GGUCGGAGACGCAGUCAGACCCUCGUGGCGCGUUCGUCCAAUCUGCUGCUGGUUUUCGUUUUUUGGGCGACAAUACAGAUUAACGCCGCCUGCUGUCAUGGAGACGUAUUUCGUCUCGCACAUG
This is a long non-coding RNA of Etheostoma cragini (Arkansas darter), 124 nucleotides long. RefSeq lists it as uncharacterized. Lineage: Eukaryota; Metazoa; Chordata; Actinopteri; Perciformes; Percidae. The transcript has 3 exons. The record is from RefSeq and is a predicted model, not a curated record.